GACGAACGCUGGCGGCGUGCUUAACACAUGCAAGUCGAACGGAAAGGCCCUGCUUUUGUGGGGUGCUCGAGUGGCGAACGGGUGAGUAACACGUGAGUAACCUGCCCUUGACUUUGGGAUAACUUCAGGAAACUGGGGCUAAUACCGGAUAGGAGCUCCUGCUGCAUGGUGGGGGUUGGAAAGUUUCGGCGGUUGGGGAUGGACUCGCGGCUUAUCAGCUCGUUGGUGGGGUAGUGGCUUACCAAGGCUUUGACGGGUAGCCGGCCUGAGAGGGUGACCGGCCACAUUGGGACUGAGAUACGGACCAGACUCCUACGGGAGGCAGCAGUGGGGAAUAUUGCACAAUGGGCGGAAGCCUGAUGCAGCAACGCCGCGUGCGGGAUGACGGCCUUCGGGUUGUAAACCGCUUUCGACUGUGACGAAGCGUGAGUGACGGUAAUGGGUAAAGAAGCACCGGCUAACUACGUG
RNAcentral lists this ribosomal RNA (468 nucleotides) under uncultured bacterium. RNAcentral's name for it is "partial 16S ribosomal RNA". It matches the Rfam family "Bacterial small subunit ribosomal RNA", at positions 28 to 507 of the family's 1533-position model. The record is from RNAcentral.